UCUUCCACAAUGGACGAAAGCCUGCUGGAGCAACGCCGCGGGAGUGAAGAAGGUGUUCGGUUCGGAUGAAGCUGUUUUAUGGGAAGAAGAAGUACAGUAGUAACUGGCCGUACCUUGACGGUACCUCAUUAGAAAGCAAAGGCUAACUAAGUGCCAGCAGCCGAGGUAAUACGUAGGUGGCAAGCGGUGUCCGGAAUUAUUGGGCGUAAGGUGCGCGAAGGUGGUCCUUUAAGUCUGCUGUGAAAGCCCCCGGCUCAACCUCGAAGGGUCAGUGGAAACUGGAGGACUAGAGUAGAGUAGAAGAAAGUGGAAUUCCAAGUGUAGCGGUGAAAUGCGUAGAGAUUUGGAGGAACACCAGUGGCGAAGGCGACUUUCUGGUCGGUAACUGCCGCUGAGGCGCGAAAGCGUGGGGAGCAAACAGG
RNAcentral lists this ribosomal RNA (422 nucleotides) under uncultured bacterium. Its description in RNAcentral is "partial 16S ribosomal RNA". It matches the Rfam family "Bacterial small subunit ribosomal RNA", at positions 362 to 776 of the family's 1533-position model. The record is from RNAcentral.